CAAUAAGCGGAGGAAAAGAAACCAACAGGGAUUGCCUCAGUAACGGCGAGUGAAGCGGCAAAAGCUCAAAUUUUAAAUCUGACGCCCACAAGCGUUCGAGUUGUACUUUGGAGAGGCAUCUUCGUAAGGGGUCCAGCCUAUGUUCCUUGGAACAGGGCGUCAUAGAGGGUGAGAAUCCCGUUCAUGGCUGGAUACUCCUUGUAUUAUGUAGUGUCUUCAACGAGUCGAGUUGUUUGGGAAUGCAGCUCAAAAUGGGUGGUAAAUUUCAUCUAAAGCUAAAUAUUGGCGAGAGACCGAUAGCGCACAAGUAGAGUGAUCGAAAGAUGAAAAGCACUUUGAAAAUAGAGUCAAACAGUACGUGAAAUUGUUGAAAGGGAAGCGCUUGAGAUCAGAGUCAGUCGAUUAUAAACAACUUUCCUUCUGGAUGGUGCACUUAUUAUUGAUUGGGCCAGCAUCAGUUGGGACGGCAGGAUAAAGGCCAUGGGAAUGUGACUCCAUUUCGGAGUGUUAUAGCCCCUGGUGCCAUGCUGUCUGCCCUGACUGUGGACCGCGCUUCGGCUUGGAUGCUGGCUUAAUGGUCUUCAGCGGCCCGUCUUGAAACACGGACCAAGGAGUCUAACGUCUAUGCAAGUGUUUGGGCUCAAAACCCUCACGCGUAAUGAAAGUGAACGGAGGUGGGAACCCUGCAAGGGGUGCACCAUCGACCGAUCCUGAUGUCUUCGGAUGGAUUUGAGUAGGAGCAUAGCUGUUGGGACCCGAAAGAUGGUGAACUAUGCCUGAAUAGGGUGAAGCCAGAGGAAACUCUGGUGGAGGCUCGCAGCGGUUCUGACGUGCAAAUCGAUCGUCAAAUUUGGGUAUAGGGGCGAAAGACUAAUCGAACCAUCUA
Molecule: ribosomal RNA, 886 nt
Filed under: Tuber oregonense
Lineage: Eukaryota; Fungi; Ascomycota; Pezizomycetes; Pezizales; Tuberaceae
Description: eukaryotic LSU rRNA
Rfam family: Eukaryotic large subunit ribosomal RNA
Source: RNAcentral